RNAcentral lists this long non-coding RNA (631 nucleotides) under Nicotiana benthamiana. RNAcentral's name for it is "long non-coding RNA (NBEN_LNC014173)". Lineage: Eukaryota; Viridiplantae; Streptophyta; Magnoliopsida; Solanales; Solanaceae. The record is from RNAcentral.
GCUAAAGAGGACAAACUACUGUGGGAGUUGCUAAAAAAGAAAAGAAAACUGGGCAUGGGAAACGGGAGCAGUAAACCAUGUGGCCUUGCACUGAGCCAGUUGAGUCCACAAACCCCACGAUUGGUCCCCUCCUCUUCACCUACAUACAGUUCAAAUGGGAACCAUUUGCUACCCAAGAUACCCCUGGGCGCCUCACCUUUGGUGACAUAUCCGCAACGUAAACCUCAGAAGAAGUCCCUCCUCUUCACCUACAUGCAGUUCAAAUGGGAACCAUUUGCUACCCAAGAUACCCCUGGGCUCCUCACCUUCGGUGACAUAUCCGCAACGUAAACCUCAGAAGAAGAUUACAUCCGGAUUUCGUACUUAAAACUUUUAUCAUAUGGAAUUAGGCUGUGGCUCGGUUUUGGUAACUAUACUUUGAUAACCUCUUUUAUUUUUACUGCGAGGGGCUUCAUUAGUUUGCAAUUCUUGCAUUUUUUUAUUCCAUCAUGUUGACAGUAUAAAAGAAACUUAACUGUGCAUUCACUGAUUCAUUUUCCAAACCAAGAAAAUAUCUUUUGUUGUACAAAUGCAUCCACUGCUAUGUCCCAAUUGCAGUAUUAUAUGAGUAAGAGAAACAUAGGAGUUAUCU